UGAUUAAUAUGUUAAUCAGUUUGGAUAUAGUGCAAUCGAGUAUGUUCAUAUGAAAAUUUAUAAUAAAUUGAUUAUAUAAACUCGUAAGGGAUUGAAGGAUCAAAUCCAUCUACAAUUUUUUUGUAUUUCAAAUCCGAGCUUCUCAAGCUCCUCAAUGUCCUUGAUCACUGUCAUACAGUGCUCAUGGAUCGAGUGCCCUUC
Molecule: long non-coding RNA, 201 nt
Filed under: Elaeis guineensis (African oil palm)
Lineage: Eukaryota; Viridiplantae; Streptophyta; Magnoliopsida; Arecales; Arecaceae
Description: long non-coding RNA (EGUI_LNC033050)
Source: RNAcentral